UGAAGGAAGUGAUUCUCGAGAAAGAAGCUAGUCUAUCAGAGGCAAAAGUGAUGAGUUUCCCUUGCUUAAGUUAUUUAACACUUCAGGGGCUCGAUAACCUGAUUAGUUUUGGUUCAGGAAGUUGUUCAUAUUAUUUUUCCUCCUUAAAAGAUCUAAGAAUUGUGGGGUGCUAUAACUUUGGAACGUUCAUCCCGAGUCCCACAAGUGUCAAGAGGCAGCGAGGCAAGAUGGCCGAAGAAAAUGAUGAAUCGCCACAACCGCUAUUCAAUGAGAUGGUUUGUUCUACUCUUUAUUGUGAUCAUUCGUAUUAUGGCUUUAUCAUUUAUAAUAAGAAUGUAAUAAAUUUGUUCUACUUAUCCUCCUUUUUCACGUUAUCCUCAUGUAGGUUACAUUUCCUAUUAUAACAAGUCUCAAAAUUGAGGGCCUUUGGUGCAAAGAGUUAUGGAACAAUCAAAUUCCCACAGAUUCCUUUCAGAAGUUGGAAUCUCUUGAAUUGAAUAACUGUGACUAUCUCCAACAUAUUGCCACUUCGUAUAUGUGGAAGAAGCUACAACGCUGUCUCGAGAAACUAGAAGUGAUUUCAUGCCGUUUGAUCGAGAUCAUAUACGAAGGUAUUGGGAUGGAUGUAGAGAGUGGUAGAUUGAGGAGGCUGGUUUUGCGUGAUCUUGAAAACUUGAGGGGCAUUUGGCAGUUCGACAGUCUCCCAAACAUCCCAUUCCCAAAUUUGAGAGACAUAGAGGUUGUGAGGUGCCCUCGUUUGGAAAUGCUUUUCCCUACCUUCACAGCGAAAUUUCUCGGGCAAAUCGAAAAGCUGGUGGUGGAGUCAUGUGAAGAUAUGAAACAAAUUGCUAGCUAUGAAAAAUGGGAAGAAGGGACCUGCACCACAAUCACCUUCUCUAAGUUAACUACUCUUAGAGUCUUCAAGUUGCCGAAAUUCAGGAGCUUCUUACCUGAGAAAUACUCUCUGAAAUUGCCGUGCUCCAAGGACUUCCCAUCCUUGCAAGUCUUGAGUAUAGAAAGUUGUGGAGCAAAGCCGGACCAAGUCCUUGGUAAUUGGGGAUUCCACGAAAUGGAACCAAAUUCACAUGCAUUUAUAGAACUCCAGGUAUUCCUUUAAUAUUUCAUUUCUUUGGUUUGGCUCUCUGUUCCUUUGAAUAGAAAAUCAAUUUAUAUUAGCUAAAACACAAUUCUUAGUGGGACCCACACAUACUUUGGUCCUCUCUCUCUCUCUGUGUCUCUCUCUCUCUCUGGGUGCGUUUGGCAACUUGCCAAAUAGUAACAAUUUCUAUUCUCGUGUUCCUGGAAGUAGAUUUGGAACGGAAAUUGAUUUAGUAAAAUUUUUAUUACCGAAAACAAAUUUCUAUUUUUUGUUCCCAAAAAUAUAUUUUUAACAAAAUUAAGAAAUAAAAAAAAGAUGUUUCUUUGUUCCAGAGAACAAUUUUAGAAUCAAGCCAACUCAUUUUUUUCUCUUUACUCUUCUUUCUUCUUGUUCUUAUUACCUCUCUUCUCUUCUUCAGUUGCACCAUCCAUUGUCCCUGAACACCAGCGAUCUCACCAGGCCAAGGCAAGGUCCGACGAGCUCGAGAUGUUUGAAGCGUGCAACCCGAGUCCGAGAAGUGUCAAGAGGCAACUAGGCAAGAUGGCCGAAGAAAAUGAUGAAUCGCCACAACCGCUGUUCAUUGAGAUGGUUCGUUUUAUUCUUUACUUCUAUUCUUUACUGUGAUCAUUCGUAUUCUUGCAUUAUCAUGUUUUAUAAUGAAGAAUGUAAUGAAUUUGUCCUACUUAUCCUCUGCUCUCACCUUAUCCUUGUGCAAGUCACAUUUCCCAAUAUAAGAUAUCUAAAAAUUGAGGACGUUCAAUGCAAAGAGCUAUGGAAUAAUCAUGCUCCUGCCGAUUACAUCGUUUGUUCCCACCAAUUCCUUUUAUUUGAGGUUAAAAAUUGUCCAUCUUUGAAAUCGUUGUUUGAUUUUGGGUCUCUAGAUUCAAAUACCGAACAAAAGGCGGUAUUGCUCCCUGAAUUGGUAAGCAUCGACGUGGAAAGCCGUCCCUCCUUGGAAUCGUUGUUUAAUUAUGGGUCCCUUGAUUCAAAUACGGAACACAAAGUUAUAUUGCUUCCCAGAUUGGAGAGAGUGAGGGCGAGUGGAGCAAAAAAGCUGAGACACGUGGUCAUGAACCGCUCCUAAAUAGUUUUGGGUUUUCAUAGUCUUGAAAUUUUCAGUGUUGAGGAUUGCUCUAACUUGAGAUAUCUCUUCCCUAAUUAUACGACCACAACUUUGGAGAAACUUCAAAGGCUAACAAUUAGUAAAUGCGAACAGAUGAAGGAAGUGAAUCUCGAGAAAGAAGCUGGUCCAUCAGAGGCAAAAGUGAUGAGUUUCCCUUGCUUAAGUUACUUAGCACUUCAGGGGCUUGAUAACCUGAUUAGUUUCAGUUCAGGAAGUGUAAAGAGGUAGUCAAGCGAGACAGCCGAAGAAAAUGAUGAAUCGCCACAACCGCUGUUCAAUGAGAUGGUUCGUUCUACUCUUUACUGUGAUCAUUCGUAUUCUUAUAUUAUCAUAUUUUAUAAUAAAGAAUGUAAUAAAUUUCUCCAACUUAUCCUCCUUUGUCAUAAUAUCCUUGUGCAGGUCACAUUUCCCAAUAUGAGAAAUUUAGAAAUUGAAGGCGUUCCAUGCAAAGUGUUAUGGAACAAUCAUGUUCCCACCGAUUCCAUUGUUUGUUCCUACUGAUUCCAUUCAAAAACUGUCGAGGUUAAAAAUUGUCCAUCCUUGAAAUCGUUGUUUGAUUUUGGGUCCCUAGAUUCACAUAUGAAACAAAAGGCAGUAUUGCUCCCUGAAUUGGUAAGCAUCGACGGUGGAAAGCUGUCCCUCGGAAUCGUUGUUUAAUUUUGUGUCCUUUGAUUCAAAUGGGGAACAAAAAAUUAUAUUGCUCCCAAAAUUGGAGAAAGUGAGGGUGAGUGGAGCAAAAAAGCUAAGACACGUUGUCAUGAGCCACUCCCAAAUAGUUUUGGGUUUUGCUAGUCUUGACACUGUCAGGGUGGAGAAUUGCUCUAACUUGGGAUAUCCCUUCCCUAGUUAUAUGGCCACAACUUUGGAGAAACUUUAGUGGCUAACGAUUAGAAAAUGCGAACAGCUGAAGGAAGUGAUUCUCAAGAAAGAAGCUAGUCCAUUAGAGGCAAAAGUGAUGGGUUUCCCUUUCUUAAGUAACUUAACACUUCAGGGUCUCGAUAACCUGAUUAGUUUCUGUUCAAGAAGUGUCAAGAGACAGCUAGGGGAGACAGCCGAAGAAAAUGAUGAAUCGCAAUAACCGCUGUUCAAUGAGAUGGUUUGUUCUAUUUUUUACUGUGAUCAUUCGUAUUCUCACAUUAUCAUGUUUUAUAAUGACGAAAGUAAUAAAUUUGUCCAACUUGACCUCCUUUCUCACAUUAUCCUUGUGCAGGCCACAUUUCCCAAUAUGAGAGACUUAGAAAUUGAAGGCGUUCCUUGCAAAGUGCUAUGGAACAAUCAUGUUCCCACCGAUACCUUUCGAAAAAUGUUGAGGAUAAAAAUUGUCCAUCCUUGAUAUUGUUUUUCGAUUUUGGGUUGUGGCAUCCUAGAAUUUCAUGACAACCUCUAGAUGUGCUAUGAACCAUGGAUAGGUGAUGGAAGUACCAUCAAGUUAUGUUGUAGCCAUUUGAUCCAUAAUUUGCAAUAAGAUUAAGGCCAAGCUUUUCAAUGGAUAAUUAUUUGAUAGGAAAGAAAUUCUAUUCUUGGCCAUGUGUUUUAUAAGUUGAAAUUUAUUUAUUUAUGAUGCAAAGUUUUAUGGCCAAUUGAAUAAGUGUAAUUAUGUAUUUAUAUAAGUGGGGAUUUAGAAUAGAUUAUUAAAAGAGGAAGUGGGCCAAAAUUCUUAGGCCAAGACCAGCCCACAAGAGCCCCACCGUUCGGCCAUUAGGGCCUGGCCCGCGAAGCCCAAAAGGGAAGGGGCUGCUGUCGUCCGAAGGAGGGAGAGGCCCGGCCCAAGGGAGGCCCAUCAACCUGCAUGUAAAUCCCCAAGUGGCAAGAGAAGCUUGCCAAUUGUUAGUCCAUUGUAGCCAAGUGGCAAUUACCUUGCAAAAUCAAAUGAUUGCUAAUGAUGAGGGGGAAGGAAAAGAGGAGAGGCGGAUUGGGAGAGAGGGUUACCGUCCGAGAGAGAGAGAGAGAGAGAGAGAGAGAGAGAGAGAGAGAGCUGUUGUGCGAGAGAAGAAGAGAGGAAGAGAGAAAGGAAGAGGGAGGCCGUUCGCUGCCGUGCGUGCCAUCGAGUCCCGCCGUCAAGCCACCUCGCCCCACCAUUUGCUUGCUAUGUUUUGCUUGGAUUAGAGGCAAGUAGAGUCCAUUGAUCUACCCUUUGCUUGCUAUGUUUUGUGUGUGAUGAAUGAUGAAUUUCGGAUGUGGAUGAAGUGUGAAAUUUCGAAGUUAUUGGAGUUGUGUUCUAGCCUGGUAUUCUGUUUCUAGAAAAAUAGUCCGACCUUUGGUGAUUUCGUGAGUUUCAUGCAAUGUUCUAGUUGGAAUCUGACUUUGAAUUCUUGAUGAAAGUUGUGGAGGACUUCUUGGAGAAUAACAUUACAAAAUUUGAAAGGAAACAGACAAGUAUAGGUUGAUGAAACCAUUUUUCUUUGAUGAAGCUAGAUCAGGAAACUGUUAUGAUGCUCUAUUGGGAUUCUGUGAAUUUCGUACAAGUAUCCAGUCCGAAUUUGAUAUCAUGUUCUUGAUGAGAGUUGUAGACGACAUAUUGAGGAGCAACAUCCUAAAAUUUGAGGAUAAACAAACAAGUAAUGAUUGGGGAAAAUGAUUUUCUUUGAAAAGGAUGAAUCUGGACAGUGAACCGAGAGAUAGAAAGAGUUACAAAAAUUAUAACUUUUAAUAAAGAAGGAAUUAAACUUUAAUUUUUUCAUGAGACUUUUACCUUUAGAUCUCAGCUAUGACAUAUUAAAAUUUCAGAAUUUUUGGAGUUCAUCUAAGGGCUUAAUCGAAAUUAUUUCCGAAACUGUGCAAAAGUGGUGCUGGAAUUUCUUCUGCUGUGAUGUGUGGAUCUAUGUGAUUGAUGUGGAACUUUCUUGACACGGUGUUCUUCAUGAAAUAUCUUCCUCUGGAUCUUGUUUACAUCAUGUUAAAUUUUUAGAAUUUAUUGAGAUUUUUUACUAAUUUUCCAAGAAUUCUUACUAAAGAGGUGCAUUCUGUUUUAUCCGAAAAUUGGUUCGAGUUUCAAAAACCAAUGAAUUUCUUUAUGAAAUGUGAUAUCAUGGGUGGUUAUGUGUACUGCAUAUAUGGUGAUGUUUGGCAUAUCAUAUGAUAUCAAAAAGCUGGUUUAGACCUUUGAUAUUGUGGCAUCAAAUGCCAUGAUGAAAAUGAGACAUAUAUGUGAUUAUAUAUUGUCAUAAUAAUGAUAUUGUCGGAGGUGUGAGCCGACGAUGCCUCGGGAGUUUCGAGAUGCCUGGAGGUUUGUGCCGGAGGUCCUCGGGAGUUUCGGGAUGCCCGGAGGUUUGUGCCGAAAGCCCUGGAGGUUUGCACCGGGGGGAUUCCUCGUGAUGUUAGUUGGGAUGCGAGAUACCCGGAGGUUUGUGCCGGAGGCUCCUUGCGACGCCAGGUUGGGUGCAAGCGAUAAAUUGAGGGAUGCAAACAUUGGUCCCUGGAAGAAAAAUGAAGAGAUCCUUGUGAAAGAUAAAUAUUAAAAUUGAAUCAUGUGCAUGGGUAUAUGCAUAUGGCAUGAUGCAUGAUCUGCUUAUGAAAGUGAAUUGAUGCUAUUUGACAUUGAGAAUGCGAUCAUGAAAGCUUGAAUGGAUCUCAUGAGGAUGUAUACAUGAUGGCAUGGAUGAUAUGAAUCAUGCGUAUGAAUGUGCAUAUAGCAUGUGAUGAACCUCAUGGAAAUACAAGUAUGAUUGCGUGGUGGUAUAUGCAUGAUGGCAUGGUGAGAUAUGCAUGACUGCAUGGUGAUAUAUGCACGACCGCAUGGUGAUGUAUGCUCGAUAGCAUGAAUGAUAUGCGCUUUACUUGUGAUGUCUUGAUUGUCUUGCUUGUUGCAUUGUGUAGUUUUAUGGAUCUUUACUGCUAAGUGGUUGUACUCACCCCUUUGGGGACUAACAUUUCAGAUUGAGUGAUGCCUCUAGCACCUGUCACGUGUGGUACGUUUUAUGGAUUACCGUUUGAUGUAGAGGUCGAGUGCUCGGAGCACCCCUGCGUCGAUGUUCAUGGUUUGGUGUUUAUCAGCGUCCGUGUUUUAGUCAUGUACAAUGCGGGUUUACCUGAUGGCCUCGUAGUACAAGAGUUUCUGUCUGUCCAUGUUCGCCGAGAUGGUAGGAUGAUAGGGAUGCUGCUGCCGCCACCGGCCGAUGCACCGGGUUGGGUGUGAUAGGAGCAUGUGACUGGUGGAGGUUCACACUUUUUGGGAUGGCCCACACUAGCUGAUGGAUAGAUAUACACGUUUGAUGUAUAGUCGGGUUCUUUUUGGGUUUAGCCGAGCUUACUUAAAGUCUUGGCCCUUUUGUUAUGCCGACUUGUAAAAUCCAUCUUAGUAUGUAAAUAAAAGUGAUUUUGCCGCAAAAUGCAUAUAUAUAUGAAGGGUUGUAGUGGUGUGUAUUGCAUUGUAUCAUUUAGUUUGUGUACGAGUUUGGGAGGUGAUAAGUAUGCUUCCGUUAUAUGAACUGCGCUGGGACCGAUCUAAAAGAUGUAAACCCCCAGGAUUGAUAGACCUAAAGGUCAACCAAGAGAAUGGUAAAAGAAAUCUAUGGCAACCCUAGCGGAUCGGGGGCCGUGUCAAGGGGCGCUACAUGGGUCCCUAGAUUUAAAUACGGAACAAAACGCUGUAUUGCUCCUUGAAUUGGUAAGCAUCGAUGUGGAAAGCUAUCCCUCCUUGGAAUCAUUAUUUAAUUGUAGGUCCCUUGAUUUAAAUGUGGAACGCAAAAUUAUAUUACUCCCCAAAUUGGAGACAGUGAGGGUGAGGGGAGCAAAAAAGCUGAGACACAUGGUCAUGAGCCACUCCCAAAUAGUUUUGGAUUUUCCUAGUCUUGAAACUAUCUUGGUUGAGAAUUGUUUUGACUUGGGAUAUCUCCUCCCUAAUUUUACGGCCACAACUUUGGAGAAACUUGAGUUUCUAACAAUUAGUAAAUACAAACAGAUGAAGGAAGUGAUUCUCGAGAAUGAAGCUGGUCCAUCAGAGGCAAAAGUGAUGAAUUUCCCUUACUUAAGUAACUUAACACUUUAGGGCUCGAUAACCUGAUUAGUUUCAGUUCAGGAAGUGUCAAGAGGCAGCUAGGUGAGACAGCCAAGGAAAAUGAUAAAUCGCCACAACCGCUGUUCAGUGAGAUGGUUUGUUCUAUUCUUUAUUGUGAUCAUUCGUAUUCUCACAUUAUCAUGUUUUAUAAUGAAGAAUGUAAUAAAUUUGUCCAACUUAUCCUCCUUUCUC
Molecule: long non-coding RNA, 7410 nt
Filed under: Eucalyptus grandis
Lineage: Eukaryota; Viridiplantae; Streptophyta; Magnoliopsida; Myrtales; Myrtaceae
Description: long non-coding RNA (EGRA_LNC004027)
Source: RNAcentral